CAUGUCUCGCUUUCGCCAGGUGCCUGCAGUGCGCAGGUGAAACGGGAAGCCGGUGCAAGUCCGGCGCUGCCCCCGCAACGGUAAGCGAGCGGCGAAGCAGACUGGCCACUGGGUCCUGCACCUGGGAAGGCGUCUGCCGAUCGGCAUCGUCCGACGCUCGCAAGCCCGGAGACCGGCCUGGCGGUGAUUCAUCCU
This 195-nucleotide non-coding RNA is filed under the name Thioalkalivibrio sp. The record is from RNAcentral. Lineage: Bacteria; Pseudomonadati; Pseudomonadota; Gammaproteobacteria; Chromatiales; Ectothiorhodospiraceae.